CUCUCUUUGGCGUUCAAGCCAAAGAACAAAGGGGAAAAAAAUAAAAAAACACUAAAAAGAAAAAAUUCAAGAGAAAUUCAUUGGAUUUCCGAAAAACGAAGCGAUCGGAGGUGGUGAGCCCUCUAGUAAGGGUAAGGAUAUCGUACCCGAGGAUCAGGAGUAGGAGUACUCCCGUUAUAGUUGAGAGCAGUCUGUAGACAGUCGAUUUUGUCGAGGGUUUGCUUUUGGAUUUGCACUCUUAAAAAU
RNAcentral lists this small RNA (246 nucleotides) under Theobroma cacao (cacao). RNAcentral describes it as "sRNA Tc10v2_g010030". The record is from RNAcentral. Lineage: Eukaryota; Viridiplantae; Streptophyta; Magnoliopsida; Malvales; Malvaceae.